Molecule: long non-coding RNA, 574 nt
Organism: Gavia stellata (red-throated loon)
Lineage: Eukaryota; Metazoa; Chordata; Aves; Gaviiformes; Gaviidae
Exons: 3
Source: RefSeq, a predicted model, not a curated record
CGCGGUGGUGUGCCGGGCGCGCUUCCUUUCGUCGGCGACAGACUAGCUGCCGUGGCUGAAGUUGAAGAGAACGGCAAAAAGCGAACCAACUGGAGAACAGAGCGAAGUGGAUCCGAGUGGAAGCUGCCUCCAUCUGCAGAAUGGAGAAACCCUGCCUGUUUGAGCGAGGAACUGUCCCAAUUAAUAGUCCUCGGCAGAUGACGUGACUAAUGUAUAACGCGGGGUCUGUGUGCGUAUCCAAAGGUAUGGCACGUCUGUGUAUCGCGUGUGUGCGCGUAAGUGCGAGUGAGAUGAUACGCGUCUAUGAACCGUCACGUUUCAAGAGCUGUGAGACACCAGCUGUACUCUCUCAGACGGAUGACGGUCGAGUAACCGGAGCCACGGAAGAGGGAGUAAGCAUGAGAGAAAGAGAGAAGCAUCCGAAUUAUACAUCUCUCCAGGCGGCAUCACGAGCGGGAGCUGCGAGCCCAUCGCUACAGGAGCUGACCGUUCACUGCCAGCCUGACAAGUACCGCUCCAGUAAGACUACUGAAGUGUCUAAGGAGAAGAGGGAGUGUAUGGGCACCGAGCCCUG